This 451-nucleotide ribosomal RNA is filed under the name Pseudomonas mohnii. RNAcentral describes it as "partial 23S ribosomal RNA". It matches the Rfam family "Bacterial large subunit ribosomal RNA", at positions 2480 to 2925 of the family's 2925-position model. Lineage: Bacteria; Pseudomonadati; Pseudomonadota; Gammaproteobacteria; Pseudomonadales; Pseudomonadaceae. The record is from RNAcentral.
GGCUGAUACCGCCCAAGAGUUCAUAUCGACGGCGGUGUUUGGCACCUCGAUGUCGGCUCAUCACAUCCUGGGGCUGAAGCCGGUCCCAAGGGUAUGGCUGUUCGCCAUUUAAAGUGGUACGCGAGCUGGGUUUAGAACGUCGUGAGACAGUUCGGUCCCUAUCUGCCGUGGACGUUUGAGAUUUGAGAGGGGCUGCUCCUAGUACGAGAGGACCGGAGUGGACGAACCUCUGGUGUUCCGGUUGUCACGCCAGUGGCAUUGCCGGGUAGCUAUGUUCGGAAUAGAUAACCGCUGAAAGCAUCUAAGCGGGAAACUAGCCUCAAGAUGAGAUCUCACUGGGACCUUGAGUCCCCUGAAGGGCCGUCGAAGACUACGACGUUGAUAGGUUGGGUGUGUAAGCGCUGUGAGGCGUUGAGCUAACCAAUACUAAUUGCCCGUGAGGCUUGACCAU